This 5107-nucleotide long non-coding RNA is filed under the name Fragaria vesca (wild strawberry). RNAcentral's name for it is "long non-coding RNA (FVES_LNC000646)". Lineage: Eukaryota; Viridiplantae; Streptophyta; Magnoliopsida; Rosales; Rosaceae. The record is from RNAcentral.
CAAAAAUAAAUUACAUAAUUUAACAAAAAUGUGAUUUACUUUUCGACAUUUAAACUUUAAAAAGAAACCUCAAUGCAUACAACUUUGAUAUAACAUUUAACUUAACUCCCAGAAGCUCAUAAAAAGAGAUAAACCAGCCCCACUGGUUAAUCAAAUACAUAAAUCUCAUAAGAAGAGACAAACCAGCCCCACUGGUUAAUCAAUUACAUAACUGAGAAAAUAAAACAAGGGGAAGAGAUAUCACUAUGUAAGAGGAGUCUCCCAGGCUCUAGUAGUGUCCCACGCUAAGCGCUCGACUCACCUAUGGUGAUGACCACUAAUAAUGGCUAGCUAACAAUGAAUAAAAACCGAUCGGAGCCUCCCAGGCUAUAGUAGCGUCCCACGCUAAGCGCUUAACUUACCUAUGGUGAGGACCGCUAAUAGAGGCUAGCUAGCAAUGAAUAAGAUCGACCCUAUAAAAUGGUGACUACAAACAUACGAAAACACUUAAAUCCAUAAAGCUUCCACAAGAUCGUGUGAAUGGUACGGUUCCCAACAGUACUUGAAAAUUAUCAUACGAAAAUAAAUCAAACUCAAUGACGUGUCCCACACGUCAAAAUAUUCUCAAAACAAUAAUUAUAAGCGAGAUUUAAUUAUCAAGUAUAAAUCGUAAAUAAUUUCUCAACCUAAAAUACUCGCUAAAAUAUUCUCAAUGUUAAAACACUACUAGGAUAAGCACUUUAGCCGACGAAAAAGUUUCGUCGGCCUGUUAGCUUAAUUGGUCGGCUAAGAUCUUAGCCGACAAUGGCUUGUCGGCUAAGAUUUCGUCAGGAAAAGGUCGUCGGCGAUGACUUCAGUCGACGAAACAAGAAGACGUCGUCGGCUAUAGUCCCAGAGUUUAGCCGACGAAAAACAUGUCGUCGGUUUUUUUUCCAGAUUUUAGCCGACGAAACAUUUAAGAUAUUCGUCGGCUAAAGUGUGUAAUAAAAAAUUAAAAAAAUAACUAAAGCCGACGAAAUAUAGUUUGUUUCGUCGGCGUUAGAAGGGUUUAGCCGACAAAACAUUCCAUAAUUCGUCGGCUAAACCUCAUAAAAAAAAUUAAAAAUACUAUAGCCGCCGAAUUAUGGCGUAUUUCGUCGGCUAUAAGUCCAUUCCAGUAAAAAAAAACCCGAAAUUUCUAAAUUACCAUUCCAAGCAAGCUGCAAAAUACACCAAAACAAUUCCAUAUAACCAACAAUAAGCACAUAAAACUAUAUAAUUCAUCAACUACACAAAAUCUAGAUCGUCUAAAUUAAUAUCUGCUUCUGGGGGCUGCUGUGGAGGUUGCGGCGGCUGGGGUAGAGGUAUAGCCGAAGACAUGGGCGGAGCUGGAAGUCCCUGAAGCUGGGCAGCUGUAAACUCCUGCAUGUACUGGAACAUCUACUGUUGCUGGGCCUGCUGGAUGACAUAUAUCUCGGCAGCAUAGGCUGCCUAUGCGGCAUUAUAGGUUGCCUGCGCGGCAUUAUAGGCAACCUGAGCAGCUUGCUGUUUCCGUAGUCUCUGAACUUUUGACUCUAGCUGAGUCGUCCUGGUGGUCGUGGUCCUGCUGCUGGUCGAGGCUGCCUUUCGUUGAAUCCUGGAGUGGUCUUCAGGACCCCCUCGCCCUUCUUUCCUAGACCCCGGUAGUAGAAGUUGUUUGCUCGCGGUGAGAAGACUGUGCCCAUGAUCCUCGCCCCAACAGUCGGAUCCGAAGUGUCGAUCCGGGACAUGGCUUCGGACAUCUCUUCCUCCUGCGUGUCCGGCCAUGUCUCCCUCACUAUAACACUCAUCACCUCGUCACUAGCCUCCCUCACCUUCGCCUAAUUGGAUAGGAAAAAAAUUAUUAAUUAACAUUUUGAAAUGUAAGAUGACUUACAAUAUCCUCCUGAGCGUCAGGAUAUGCCUUCUCGUACGUAUAGACGUACCGGUUGACUUUUGGAUGUUCCCUGACCGCCUCGUCCAUAAAGACAGCGAACGGUCUAGAACCGGCACGAUGAUUCCUUGUUUUGCGGUGCCGGUUCUGAGCAUUCGCCCGAGAAACGACAUUCAAAGAAAAAAAUAAACUAUUAGUAAAAUAUUUAAAAACGCACGUACUUAAUGACAAAUUAACUAAUUAAUUUUUUAAAUACCUAUUUACGAGGGUUGUUGAAUUCUGAUGUCAGAAGCCAACGCCACUCGUACUCCCUGUACUGGAACUCAGCAGGGGUACCAGAACGUGCGUUCUCGUGCAUAGUCCAGUGGGUCCGCAACUCGGUCUUCCACUCCUUGUACCUACAGAUAUAACAAAAAUAUUAGAAAUAUUAUUAAUAUCACAUACAAUUUUGUUUUUUCAUUAACUUCCCAACGUACCUUUCCCCAUGCACAGCGUCCCCCCAGCUGUUCUUCAGGUGCUCCGGAACCUCAAACCACACCUGCAUUUAAUCGUUUAUUAGUUUAGUUUUUCGAGAAAUCAACAAUGUAAUACAUAAUAUUAUUGAGGCAUUUUGUAAACUCACCGACAUUGCGUUGUGGACCAUGUCCUUAACCUCCUGCGGGACCUCGCCCCAGUCUGACCACAACAUAGGGACUCUAUCCCUAAUGAGCGCUCCCACGCGGCCGGAGUACGUCCUCGACUUCCCGCCCGAUACUAUGUCGCCAUCCCCGUCAGUAACGAUGACGAUCCUCCCUGAGGUACUGACGGUCUUCUCGAGAGCCUUCCAUGUGACGGGGUCUCUCUUCUUCUUUGUCGGCUUCGCUCCGACGGUGCCUAUCACAUGAUAAACCAAAUUGAUUAUUAAAAUCGGAGACCCUUUAUUAUUAAUUAUAAGAAAACAAAUCAUUCAUCUUUCAUUACCUGAGGGCGAUGCGGCGGACGCGACGGAUUCCGUCUCUGUCGCCGAUGAUGAUACCCUCGCGAAAAUAAGGGGCGUAUCAAAAGGCACGAACUGGUACGCCGCUGAUGGAGCCACUGGCGGGGGCAGUGGAUAAAUCGGCGUCCCUGAGCCAUCGACUGCAGGUAAGGCCGGUAUCAUCCGCGGAAGGAACAGAUGAGGCGGCAGCAUCUGUACCCCAGAUGACCCACUAUCCGAAGAAGUAGGACCCGGAGUGGGCGCCCGGUGUAUCUCAGGCAUCGGGGUGCAGACACCUCCAUCUGGGUCUGAGGCCACAGCUGCCUCGAGGAAUGAGGGACGCCCCGCUGCCUCGAUGAAGGGGGCACCUUCGGUUGCCUCUGCGCCGUCUCAAGAAGGGUCGCACGUCUGGCUGUCAUGGGGCCCCAAAACAACGUUUGAGGGUUGCUAGAGGUUCUCUCAGACAAUUCGGACCUUUGGCCCUUCGAACCCUUCGUCGAUAUAAAAUUACCGCUCAUCCUGUUUAAAAUAUUAAUUUGAAUCAAGACCAAUGUUUUAAAAGGCUAAGGCGUAGCCGAGGCUAUGGAGCGAGAGCCUGAUUAAGGCGUCAGCCUUUUGAAAAAAAAUUUAGAUUUGUAACUUUUAAAAAUUAAUUUUUUAAGCUCCUAACUUUUAGAUUUAUAUUUCAUGACAAGAAGAGGAGGUCAGUUUCAUGUUUAUUUUCAUAUUCGUAACAACACCACAAAAUCAAACAAUGUAAACUCAUUCAAUUAGUCAACAAAAAAAACACCAUUAAACUCUUCUCCUCCUACUUGAAUCGAUAAUUGACGCACUUCAGCACUAUCUAUAUUGGCUUAGAUACCAAAUACAAAUUAUGUUUCCUAAUUCUCCAAAAUUCACAACAAAUGCAAAUGACCUCAUCUCCUUAGUACCCCAUUAAAUUUUGAUUGAGAACAAGGACUAAAUUUCAGAAACAUGAAUUAAAAUGACUGAGAGAUCUUCCAAACUAUGAGAAGAAAACAAUAAGCAAUCGUCACUUGUCCUAGAGAAUAAAUGUGAGAGUGAAUGCUUCGAACUAGCAAACACAUAAAGCCAACUCUUCCGCAAAUUCAAAGACAACAACUGACGCACAUCAUCAAUGCAUAACAACAAAUCGCAAAAUUACCUGAAAUGCAGUCGAAACCCAAGAGAGAUCGGACACCUCCUUCUUCGGGUUGAAAUGUACUUGAGGAGGAGGGAGGGCUCGAGGAGGAGGAUGGUGAAGAGGAGGACAGAUCGGGGCUGGAGCAGUAGGUGGCCGGAGGAGGCGGACCGGGAGACCGGGAGAAGGAGGCGGAGGAGGCUAGCUAAGGUUUUUGAAAUGCGUUGUGGAGGCUGUCGAGCGCUGGGUCUCGGUGUGUAUACCGUACAACUUUAGCCGACAAAAUUUUUACUUCGUCGGCUAAACUUUGAAAUUCGUCUGCUAACCUUUGAAAUUCGUCGCUAAAGUACUUUUAUACAUUCGGCACAUUGUGAUUGUGAUGAUCAAACUUGAGAAACGAAAAUCCGACCGUCAGAUCUGACCAUGAUGAUAAAAUACAUGUAUGGGAAAAAAUUCAACUUGAUCCGACAAGGUUAAGGGCUCGAUCCGGUCGGUCAAUCCGUUAAGUCAAACCCCAAAACGCAUGGAAAAGGUCAUUGGACCGUCUAAAUUACGUAUUUUGGCCGGACCUUCAACUGAAAAUAGUUUCAAACCGAUGAGACACAACAAGUCAUAUAAAAAUUUUACGGAAAAUAACCACCGAAGAUAGGGCUACCCAUAGGGAUAAAGAAUGGAAAAUUGUAUUGACCGCAACUAUCGGCACCUAGACUCUACCGGAAUACCAUGAUUUUUCAACCGUAGACGUAUUUCACCAUUCUGGUCAUAUCUUAUUUAACGACUUUUUUGCGUUUGAAGGUUCUACGUAUAUUUUGUUUUUGAAACGGAACAUUUACGUAAACACUUGGUAAACAAGUUAUACAACAUUAGUAGGCAUGUUGUGAUUGUGAUAAUCAAACUUGAGAAACGAAAAUCCCACCGUCAGAUCUAACCAUGAUGAUAAAAUACAUGUAUGGGAAAAAAUUCAACUUGAUCCAACAAGGUUAAGGGCUUGAUCCGGUCGGUCAAUCCGUUAAGUCAAACCCCUAAACGCACGGAAAAGGUCAUUGGACCGUCUAAAUUACGUAUUUUGGCCGGACAUUCAACUGAAAAUAGUUUCAAACCGAUGAGACCCAACAAGUCAUAUAAAAAUUUUAGGGUUUAG